This 72-nucleotide transfer RNA is filed under the name Capra hircus (goat). It matches the Rfam family "tRNA". From Rfam's summary of the family: Transfer RNA (tRNA) molecules are approximately 80 nucleotides in length. Their secondary structure includes four short double-helical elements and three loops (D, anti-codon, and T loops). Further hydrogen bonds mediate the characteristic L-shaped molecular structure. tRNAs have two regions of fundamental functional importance: the anti-codon, which is responsible for specific mRNA codon recognition, and the 3' end, to which the tRNAs corresponding amino acid is attached (by aminoacyl-tRNA synthetases). tRNAs cope with the degeneracy of the genetic code in two manners: having more than one tRNA (with a specific anti-codon) for a particular amino acid; and 'wobble' base-pairing, i.e. permitting non-standard base-pairing at the 3rd anti-codon position. The record is from Rfam by way of RNAcentral. RNAcentral also lists the same sequence under 1 other name. Lineage: Eukaryota; Metazoa; Chordata; Mammalia; Artiodactyla; Bovidae.
UCUCUUGUAGCUCAGUUGGUAAAGAAUCUGCCUGCAGUGCAGAAGACCCGGGUUCGAUUCCUGGGUUGGGAA